RNAcentral lists this ribosomal RNA (239 nucleotides) under uncultured eukaryote. RNAcentral describes it as "partial 18S ribosomal RNA". It matches the Rfam family "Eukaryotic small subunit ribosomal RNA", at positions 1299 to 1450 of the family's 1831-position model. The record is from RNAcentral.
UGGUGGAGUGAUUUGUCUGGUUAAUUCCGUUAACGAACGAGACCUUAACCUGCUAAAUAUGCCGCGCUAACCCGUCCAUCAAAACCCAUGCGUGGCCCACGAGGUCCGCUGCGUGACGUGUUUGCCUUUCAUCGGGUGAGUGCGUUGCGCCGGCAGGGCCCGGGUCCGUGUGGGCGGCAGGGUUCGGCGUCUGUGCUUCUUAGAGGGACUGCUGGCGCCUAGUCAGCGGAAGUUUGAGG